RNAcentral lists this ribosomal RNA (391 nucleotides) under Heliocharis amazona. RNAcentral describes it as "partial 16S ribosomal RNA". It matches the Rfam family "Archaeal large subunit ribosomal RNA", at positions 2000 to 2594 of the family's 2987-position model. Lineage: Eukaryota; Metazoa; Arthropoda; Insecta; Odonata; Dicteriadidae. The record is from RNAcentral.
UUUAACGGCCGCGGUAUCCUGACCGUGCAAAGGUAGCAUAAUCAUUAGUCUUUUAAUAGGAGUCUGGUAUGAAUGGUUUGACGAAAUUUUAACUGUCUCACUUUAAUAUUAGAAUUUAAUUUUUGAGUUAAAAAGCUUAAAUUUUGUUGGAAGACGAGAAGACCCUAUAGAGCUUUACGUGUUUUGUAUUAUUUUUAAUUUGGUUAAAUUUUUGUUUUAUAUUAUUGAUCAUGUUUUGUUGGGGCGACAAAAAUAUAUAUUUAACUUUUUUAAUUUUUAUCAUUUAUUUAUGUUUUUUAGAUCCUUUAUUAUUGAUUGUUAGAUUGAGUUACCUUAGGGAUAACAGCGUAAUCCUCUUUUGGAGUUCUUAUUUUCAAGAGGGCUUGCGACC